UACAGAGGGGGCAAGCGUUGUUCGGAAUUACUGGGCGUAAAGGGCGUGUAGGCGGCCUGUUAAGUCGAACGUGAAAUCCCUGGGCUCAACCCAGGAACUGCGUCCGAUACUGGCAGGCUUGAAUUCGGGAGAGGGAUGCGGAAUUCCAGGUGUAGCGGUGAAAUGCGUAGAUAUCUGGAGGAACACCGGUGGCGAAGGCGGCAUCCUGGACCGAGAUUGACGCUGAGGAGCGAAAGCCAGGGGAGCAAACGGG
This 253-nucleotide ribosomal RNA is filed under the name uncultured bacterium. RNAcentral's name for it is "partial 16S ribosomal RNA". It matches the Rfam family "Bacterial small subunit ribosomal RNA", at positions 524 to 776 of the family's 1533-position model. The record is from RNAcentral.